Molecule: long non-coding RNA, 393 nt
Organism: Cercocebus atys (sooty mangabey)
Lineage: Eukaryota; Metazoa; Chordata; Mammalia; Primates; Cercopithecidae
Exons: 3
Source: RefSeq, a predicted model, not a curated record
GGAUUUGAAGCCAGGGAACCAGAAUGCAGGAAAAGCACUGAGGAGACUAUUACAGUAAUCCAGGUCACUUUGGCCUCUACAGCCAUGCCAUUCCACGACUGCUAACACACCGCAGUUUCUCUUCUAUAUGUUGAAGAAUUUGCUGAUGGGAAGGACGAAACCCUGCUCUUCUGAGAAAUGAGAUAUAUAUCAGGAAAAUUGGCUUGAGUCAUUAUAUGAAAGGCUAAAUACCAGACUAAGGAUUUCAGGUUUCAUUGAUGAUGUUGGAGUACUGAAUACUUUCAAUCUGAGCCAGGACUCAUGAAAGCAGGGUGAAUCAUCUCAGAUGUUAACAGUAUUUGUCUCUCUGUAAGGUAACCAGGGAACAACGGUAAGAUGAGCAUGUACUUUUUA